This 397-nucleotide ribosomal RNA is filed under the name uncultured bacterium. RNAcentral describes it as "partial 16S ribosomal RNA". It matches the Rfam family "Bacterial small subunit ribosomal RNA", at positions 523 to 918 of the family's 1533-position model. The record is from RNAcentral.
AUACGUAGGGGGCGAGCGUUGUCCGGAAUGAUUGGGCGUAAAGGGCGCGUAGGCGGCCCGGUAAGUCUGGAGUGAAAGUCCUGUUUUUAAGAUGGGAAUUGCUUUGGAUACUGUCGGGCUUGAGUGCAGGAGAGGUAAGUGGAAUUCCCAGUGUAGCGGUGAAAUGCGUAGAGAUUGGGAGGAACACCAGUGGCGAAGGCGACUUACUGGACUGUAACUGACGCUGAGGCGCGAAAGUGUGGGGAGCAAACAGGAUUAGACACCCUGGUAGUCCACACUGUAAACGAUGAAUGCUAGGUGUAGGGGGUAUCGACCCCUUCUGUGCCGCAGUCAACACAAUAAGCAUUCCGCCUGGGGAGUACGGCCGCAAGGUUGAAACUCAAAUGAAUUGACGGGG